RNAcentral lists this non-coding RNA (93 nucleotides) under Bernardetia litoralis. RNAcentral describes it as "TPP sequence". It matches the Rfam family "TPP riboswitch aptamer (THI element)". Rfam says of the family: Vitamin B(1) in its active form thiamin pyrophosphate (TPP) is an essential coenzyme that is synthesised by coupling of pyrimidine and thiazole moieties in bacteria. Lineage: Bacteria; Pseudomonadati; Bacteroidota; Cytophagia; Cytophagales; Bernardetiaceae. The record is from RNAcentral. RNAcentral also lists the same sequence under 1 other name.
CCAAAUCGUUAGGGGUGCUUAUAAAUAGCUGAGAUUAUACCCUAUGAACCUGAGAUGUUUAAUAACAGCGUAGGGAAACGAGGAUUGUAAUAG